UACGUAGGGGGCAAGCGUUGUCCGGAUUCAUUGGGCGUAAAGAGCGUGUAGGCGGCCUGAAAGGUCAGCUGUGAAAACUCGAGGCUCAACCUCGAGACGUCGGUUGAAACCAUCUGGCUAGAGUCCGGAAGAGGAGUGUGGAAUUCCCGGUGUAGCGGUGAAAUGCGCAGAUAUCAGGAGGAACACCGGUGGCGAAGGCGGUUCUCUGGGCAUUACCUGACGCUGAGGAGCGAAAGUGUGGGGAGCGAACAGG
RNAcentral lists this ribosomal RNA (253 nucleotides) under uncultured bacterium. RNAcentral describes it as "partial 16S ribosomal RNA". It matches the Rfam family "Bacterial small subunit ribosomal RNA", at positions 524 to 776 of the family's 1533-position model. The record is from RNAcentral.